AUGAGAUUUAGUUUGCACACUAACGACUAUAGGUUGCGUAAUGUUUGGAGUGGUCUUCUUCCAUAUUUCUCCAGUUCAGUCAUGUAUUUCUUUGCGGCCAUUUUCGCUUCAAUAUUCCCUUAUUCUCACAUGUUGGUUGCGACUUCUUUGUUUAUGUUGGACUAUUCUGUGAACUGCCAUCAUAACAGCUUGCUGAAAAUAGUGUUGUCGGAUGGUAGCCAUUAUUGGUACAACUUAAGUGCUUAUCAGUUAACUUAUUUGAGCUCUACGGGGCAGCCAAAUGAUUAUUGGGUGAUUUAUUUGCAGUAA
Molecule: ribosomal RNA, 309 nt
Filed under: Triticum aestivum (bread wheat)
Lineage: Eukaryota; Viridiplantae; Streptophyta; Magnoliopsida; Poales; Poaceae
Description: partial small subunit ribosomal RNA
Source: RNAcentral